UUUACUCCUUCACAGUUGGUCACUCUUUUUAAGGGCCUUUACUCAUGCUUUUAACAGCAGCAGAAGAUGCAAGGCCAAGGAGGUAAUGUUUCCCUUGGCAUAAUGAUACACCAGGCUGUUAACUGAAGAGGAACAGAAGUGAAUGAGUUCAGAAGAAUCAAAGACUUUUAUUCCCCGACAAUAUUCCUGCUUUGUUUUCGUAUGGAUUAAUAAAGACUUCCCGACGCGAGUCAGACAAAUGGGAUUGUCGGUGAGACGUAAGGCUUGGCCCUCCUCCCUCUCCUCCCUUUCAUCCAGGAUGGCAAAGCGUUUUAUAAAGAUGAUUGAAUAUGCAGCAGUGCUUGCGAGUUAGAUCUGCUAGUUUACCUUUAAAAAAGGCUUCACCAUAGAAACAGAGGGAAGACAUCAGAAGAACCAUGGAUUUGACAGAAGGCCUGUUUAUUCCUAUAUUCUGUUCACAUGUGGCCACUCUCCUGCGUCUGGAUACCCCACCAGCAGAACAAGUGCAACAGAAACCUCAUUUCUAUAUUCACUAGCAAGUGAUGUGCAGAGGAAUGUUGCCUCUGACACCAGAUAUGAUAUGGGGACAUCUUGACUGGGAGAAAUGGAUGACCCUGAUGUUCAUGAAUUCAUCUAAUCCCAGUUUGAAGCCAUUGCUACACCUUGCGACACAGGAUUCCGCAGUUUAAUUCUGCAUUAUAUGGCGAAGCAAUGACAACUGUAUUCCUCCCUUCCUUCCUUUUCACUUAUUAACAAGAAAUAAACAAUAAUUUAUUAAGUAAA
Molecule: long non-coding RNA, 783 nt
Organism: Sceloporus undulatus (fence lizard)
Lineage: Eukaryota; Metazoa; Chordata; Lepidosauria; Squamata; Phrynosomatidae
Exons: 3
Source: RefSeq, a predicted model, not a curated record